RNAcentral lists this ribosomal RNA (213 nucleotides) under uncultured bacterium. Its description in RNAcentral is "partial 16S ribosomal RNA". It matches the Rfam family "Bacterial small subunit ribosomal RNA", at positions 524 to 735 of the family's 1533-position model. The record is from RNAcentral.
UACGAAGGGGGCUAGCGUUGCUCGGAAUCACUGGGCGUAAAGCGCACGUAGGCGGCUUUUUAAGUCAGGGGUGAAAUCCUGGAGCUCAACUCCAGAACUGCCUUUGAUACUGAGAAUCUUGAGUACGGGAGAGGUGAGUGGAACUGCGAGUGUAGAGGUGAAAUUCGUAGAUAUUCGCAAGAACACCAGUGGCGAAGGCGGACUCACUGGCCC